CGAACCUACGGGGGGCAGCAGUGAGGAAUAUUGGUUAAUGGGAGAGAUCCUGAACCAGCCAAGCCGCGUGAGGGAAGACGGCCCUAUGGGUUGUAAACCUCUUUUGUCGGAGAACAAAACCCGGGACGCGUCCCGGACUGCGUGUAUCCGAAGAAAAAGCAUCGGCUAACUCCGUGCCAGCAGCCGCGGUAAUACGGAGGAUGCGAGCGUUAUCCGGAUUUAUUGGGUUUCAAGGGUGCGGAGGCGGUCCGUUAAGUCAGCGGUUAAAUUGCGGGGCUCAACCCCGUUGAGCC
RNAcentral lists this ribosomal RNA (293 nucleotides) under uncultured bacterium. Its description in RNAcentral is "partial 16S ribosomal RNA". It matches the Rfam family "Bacterial small subunit ribosomal RNA", at positions 332 to 625 of the family's 1533-position model. The record is from RNAcentral.